GCCCUCGUUGAUCAUGGUGAUCACCCACCACCUAUUACUGAGUUCCAUAAUGUGAAUAAUUUGAGCGGGCAGCGGGGGUUCGAUUCCCCCCGAGGGCA
Molecule: non-coding RNA, 98 nt
Organism: Mycena latifolia
Lineage: Eukaryota; Fungi; Basidiomycota; Agaricomycetes; Agaricales; Mycenaceae
Source: the annotation of a GenBank genome assembly